This 97-nucleotide signal recognition particle RNA is filed under the name Rhodospirillaceae bacterium. RNAcentral's name for it is "signal recognition particle sRNA small type". It matches the Rfam family "Bacterial small signal recognition particle RNA". Rfam says of the family: The signal recognition particle (SRP) is a universally conserved ribonucleoprotein involved in the co-translational targeting of proteins to membranes. Archaeal SRP consists of a 7S RNA and homologues of the eukaryotic SRP19 and SRP54 proteins. RNAcentral also lists the same sequence under 1 other name. Lineage: Bacteria; Pseudomonadati; Pseudomonadota; Alphaproteobacteria; Rhodospirillales; Rhodospirillaceae. The record is from RNAcentral.
AGGCCGACGGUGGACGGGCGCCUCGCCAACCCGGUCAGGUCCGGAAGGAAGCAGCCGCAACGAGAUUUUCGCCCGGGUCGCUUAACGUCGGUCUUCC